GCUAUAAGAAGAGGGAGAUUCAGAAGCAGAUGCAGUUGCAGUUGCAGUUGCAGAUGCGGUCCUCCUCCGAUGCGCCUUUGAACAAAGGGGUUUCUUUCGAUUCUUCUCGCAAUUUGUUGGCUGUGGCGGACAAAGACGACGAUAUUAUUUUCUGAAUUCUUGGUUUAAAGAUAUGGUCUUUAGGAUAAGCAAAAACCUAUUGAUGCUGUGAUUGAAGAAAACAGAAAACAACUAAUAGAUGGUCUAAAGGAUGGGAAAUGAGGUUUGUUAACAACGUACUACCCGUAUAUAACUCAUUUCUGUUGAUCAAUCA
Molecule: non-coding RNA, 313 nt
Organism: Cajanus cajan (pigeon pea)
Lineage: Eukaryota; Viridiplantae; Streptophyta; Magnoliopsida; Fabales; Fabaceae
Source: RefSeq, a predicted model, not a curated record